Molecule: ribosomal RNA, 492 nt
Filed under: uncultured bacterium
Lineage: Bacteria
Description: partial 16S ribosomal RNA
Rfam family: Bacterial small subunit ribosomal RNA
Source: RNAcentral
GAUGAACGCUAGCUACAGGCUUAACACAUGCAAGUCGAGGGGAAACGACAUCGAAAGCUUGCUUUUGAUGGGCGCCGACCGGCGCACGGGAGAGGAACGCGUAUCCAACCUGCCCAUCACAUGUGAAUAACCUUGCGGAAGUAAGACUAAUACACAAUGACAUCCCACGAAGACAUCUGAAUGGGACGAAAGAUGUAUCGGUGAUGGAUGGGGAUGCGUCUGAUUGGCUGGUUGGCGGGGAACCGGCCCACCAAGGCAACGCUGAGUAGGGGUUCUGAGGGGAGGGGCCCCCACAUGGGGACUGACACACGGGCCACACUCCUACGGGCGGCAGCAGUGCGGAAUAUUGGUGAAUGGACGAGUGCCUGAACCGGCCAAGUAGGGUGCAGGAUGGCCGCCCUAGGGGUGGUAACCUGCUUUUAUUAGGGCAUAAAGUGGGGUUCGUGAGACUUUUUGCCGGUACCUUAUGAAUAAGGACCGGCUAAUUCCGUG